This 497-nucleotide ribosomal RNA is filed under the name uncultured bacterium. RNAcentral describes it as "partial 16S ribosomal RNA". It matches the Rfam family "Bacterial small subunit ribosomal RNA", at positions 28 to 507 of the family's 1533-position model. The record is from RNAcentral.
GAUGAACGCUGGCGGCGUGCCUAAUACAUGCAAGUCGAGCGAACGGACGAGAAGCUUGCUUUUCUGAUGUUAGCGGCGGACGGGUGAGUAACACGUGGAUAACCUACCUAUAAGACUGGGAUAACUUCGGGAAACCGGAGCUAAUACCGGAUAAUAUUUUGAACCGCAUGGUUCAAAAGUGAAAGACGGUCUUGCUGUCACUUAUCGAUGGAUCCGCGCUGCAUUAGCUAGUUGGUAAGGUAACGGCUUACCAAGGCAACGAUGCAUAGCCGACCUGAGAGGGUGAUCGGCCACACUGGAACUGAGACACGGUCCAGACUCCUACGGGAGGCAGCAGUAGGGAAUCUUCCGCAAUGGGCGAAAGCCUGACGGAGCAACGCCGCGUGAGUGAUGAAGGUCUUCGGAUCGUAAAACUCUGUUAUUAGGGAAGAACAUAUGUGUAAGUAACUGUGCACAUCUUGACGGUACCUAAUCAGAAAGCCACGGCUAACUACGUG